RNAcentral lists this unclassified non-coding RNA (216 nucleotides) under uncultured Tomentella. RNAcentral's name for it is "sequence contains ITS2". The record is from RNAcentral. Lineage: Eukaryota; Fungi; Basidiomycota; Agaricomycetes; Thelephorales; Thelephoraceae.
ACACCUCAACUCUCAUGGUCUGCCAUGAUGAGCUUGGACUUUGGGGGUCUUGCCGGCCUAGCGUCGGCUCCUCUCAAAUGGAUCAGCUCGCCAGUGUUUGGUGGCAUCACAGGUGUGAUAACUAUCUACGCUUGUGGUUUUCUACCAUGUAACCUUCAGCGAUGGAGGUUCGCUGGGGCUCACAGACGUCUCUCCUUGGAGGACAGCUCUUUGAAC